GACGAACGCUGGCGGCGUGCUUAACACAUGCAAGUCGAACGGGCCUUGUCCCCUUUUUUUUUGGGGGUGGGGUUAGUGGCGAACGGGUGAGUAACACGUGAGUAACCUGCCCCUCACUUCUGGAUAACCGCUUGAAAGGGUGGCUAAUACGGGGUGUUCUGGCCUGCUCGCAUGGGUGGGUUUGGAAAGAUUCGACCGGUUUGGUUGUUUUGGUGGGGGAUGGGCUCGCGGCCUAUCAGCUUGUUGGUGGGGUGAUGGCCUGCCAAGGCUUUGACGGGUAGCCGGCCUGGGAGGGUGGGCGGUCACACUGGGACUGAGACACGGCCCAGACUCCUACGGGAGGCAGAAGUGGGGAAUAGUGCACAAUGGGCGCAAGCCUGAUGCAGCGACGCCGCGGGAGGGAUGGAGGCCUUCGGGGUGUGAACCUCUUUCGCCAGUGAAGAAGGUCCUGCUCUUUGUGGUGGGGUUGACGGUAGCGGGGUUAAUGAAGCGCCGGCUAACUACGUG
Molecule: ribosomal RNA, 507 nt
Filed under: uncultured bacterium
Lineage: Bacteria
Description: partial 16S ribosomal RNA
Rfam family: Bacterial small subunit ribosomal RNA
Source: RNAcentral